This 253-nucleotide ribosomal RNA is filed under the name uncultured bacterium. RNAcentral describes it as "partial 16S ribosomal RNA". It matches the Rfam family "Bacterial small subunit ribosomal RNA", at positions 524 to 776 of the family's 1533-position model. The record is from RNAcentral.
UACGGGGGGAGCAAGCGUUGUUCGGAUUUACUGGGCGUAAAGAGCGCGCAGGCGGUCGUUCAAGUCGCGUGUGAAAGCCCCCGGCUCAACUGGGGAGGGUCACGCGAUACUGAUCGACUCGAAGGCAGGAGAGGGAAGUGGAAUUCCCGGUGUAGUGGUGAAAUGCGUAGAUAUCAGGAGGAACACCAAUGGCGAAGGCAGCUCGCUGGGACGGUACUGACGCUGAGACGCGAAAGCGUGGGGAGCAAACAGG